This 495-nucleotide ribosomal RNA is filed under the name uncultured bacterium. RNAcentral describes it as "partial 16S ribosomal RNA". It matches the Rfam family "Bacterial small subunit ribosomal RNA", at positions 28 to 507 of the family's 1533-position model. The record is from RNAcentral.
GACGAACGCUGGCGGCGUGCCUAAUACAUGCAAGUAGAACGCUGAAGGAGGAGCUUGCUUCUCUGGAUGAGUUGCGAACGGGUGAGUAACGCGUAGGUAACCUGCCUGGUAGCGGGGGAUAACUAUUGGAAACGAUAGCUAAUACCGCAUAAUAGUAGAUGUUGCAUGACAUUUGCUUAAAAGGUGCAAUUGCAUCACUACCAGAUGGACCUGCGUUGUAUUAGCUAGUUGGUGGGGUAACGGCUCACCAAGGCGACGAUACAUAGCCGACCUGAGAGGGUGAUCGGCCACACUGGGACUGAGACACGGCCCAGACUCCUACGGGAGGCAGCAGUAGGGAAUCAUCGGCAAUGGACGGAAGUCUGACCGAGCAACGCCGCGUGAGUGAAGAAGGAUUUCGGAUCGUAAAGCUCUGUUGUAAGAGAAGAACGAGUGUGAGAGUGGAAAGUUCACAAUGUGACGGUAUCUUACCAGAAAGGGACGGCUAACUACGUG